RNAcentral lists this ribosomal RNA (251 nucleotides) under uncultured prokaryote. RNAcentral describes it as "partial 16S ribosomal RNA". It matches the Rfam family "Bacterial small subunit ribosomal RNA", at positions 525 to 775 of the family's 1533-position model. The record is from RNAcentral.
ACGUCUUCCUCCCCCUUUUUUCUGAGUUACUGGGCGUAAAGAGUGCGUAGGCGGUUGGGUAAGUUCGGUGUGAAAUCUCCCGGCUCAACUGGGAGGGUGCGCCGAAAACUGCCUGGCUCGAGUGCCGGAGAGGAAAGCGGAAUUCCUGGUGUAGCGGUGAAAUGCGUAGAUAACAGGAGGAACACCGGUGGUGUAGACGGCUUUCUGGACGGCCACUGACGCUGAGGCACGAAAGCGUGGGGAGCAAACAG